RNAcentral lists this unclassified non-coding RNA (258 nucleotides) under Hevea brasiliensis (rubber tree). Lineage: Eukaryota; Viridiplantae; Streptophyta; Magnoliopsida; Malpighiales; Euphorbiaceae. The record is from RNAcentral.
UGGUGUUGGGGCCUGCAUUUGCCAUACUAACUACUCCUGGUCCAAUAUGGGCCAAUUUGAAGUUUUCAUCUUUAAAUGUACGGCCAUAUAUGCUUUUACCUCCAGUUCCAUUUCCUUUAUCAAAGUCCCCUCCUUGAAUCAUGAAAUCUUUGAUGACACGAUGAAAUGUAGAACCUUUGUAGCCAAAGCCCUUAUCCCCUGUGCAUAAAGCACGGAAAUUCUCUGCUGUUUGGGGCACAUCAUCACCAUAUAAUCCAA